UAACAUGUUUCUGUAUAUAUUAAUUUCACAAGAAAAAGAUACUGAUUUGUUGGUUUUUCAACUUGGAGAGGCCUGAAAUUAGAGUUGAGUUUUCAACUUACCAAAUCGUAGAUGUAGCUGUCAUUUGCAAUUCUGGAACACAGAAAGUUGUUAAGAACUGGUCCCUAUCCCAUUCUUGUGCAGCCUUGAAAUAAUUCAAUGCUGAAAAUGCUUUCUUGGGGAACCUCUUCAACAAGAAAUUGCAAACCACUCGCUUCAACUUUAAAGGUUUGACACCAUGGCUGCACAGACUAAGUUCCUGGAAUAGUGGGAAGACAAGAGUUUGUAUCAAUAUGUUGGCUAUUGAAACCAAGUUCCUGCACAAACUCUAUAUGUGGCAUGUUUUACGUAGUUGUAUCAGCUUUUGGGAAAUGCUUUUAACAUUAAGAGUUAUAUGAAAUAGGUUUGAUUACUCAUUUGAGCA
Molecule: long non-coding RNA, 463 nt
Organism: Rosa chinensis
Lineage: Eukaryota; Viridiplantae; Streptophyta; Magnoliopsida; Rosales; Rosaceae
Exons: 3
Source: RefSeq, a predicted model, not a curated record